UAAAAAUAAAAUUGAGAAAGGAAAUGGGGAAUGUGUCAAAGCGACAACAACCCGACCAUAGAGCAGACGACAGCCGAAGGCCACCAAUGGUUCUUCAAUGUAGCGAGAAACUCCCGCACCCGUAAGUGUCCUUCAGCUGGCCCCUUAAAAAAUAUGUAUACUAGUACAGUGAUAAUGGACGUCAUACUAAACUCCGAAUUAUACACAAGAAACUAAAAUUAAAAAUCAUACAAGACUUAC
This 240-nucleotide long non-coding RNA is filed under the name Mytilus galloprovincialis (Mediterranean mussel). The record is from RNAcentral. Lineage: Eukaryota; Metazoa; Mollusca; Bivalvia; Mytilida; Mytilidae.